CCACCCCGCAAAGGAGCCGGCGGGGACCGACCCCGUGGGGGCGAGGCGGCUGGCGGGGACUCCUCGGACGAUUUUAACUCCUGAUCGCUCCCGGGCUGCCGAGUGAGGCUCGGGGGGGGUCCCGGCACAGCCCCCCGCAGCUCCGAGCGGCCGCUGGACAGCAGCAUCCUCAUCAUCCUCACCAUCCUCCUCGCCCCGUUCCCCUCCCUGGACCCCGGCCGGGCAGUGGGGGCAGGCAGAGGUGACAGAAAGCGCUGGAGCAGCCGGGGCAGGAUUCAGCCCCUUGGAUGCCCCGGAGCUCCAGCCCGGAUCCUGCUGCUGCAGCUCCAUCCCUGCCCGGGGACUCGGCUCCCAGACCUCGGCGUAAUUGACUGGCUGCUCAGAGGCGAGGGAAGUCAGGAUCCCCGUGCUGGGGAAGGGAGCAGUGAUUUUCCUGUCUACAAAUCCACUUUGCACUGGUGGUGUUGGUUGGGGUUAAAGCCUGACAAAGUUCAGGCUCAUAAAAAGAGGCUGACAAAGCAAAGCAGAAAGAGAGAAGCUUCCAAGACUUUUCAAGUGAGAAACAAAACAGCACUGUACAAAAAUGACUGGCUCUCCAUUUGCCUGGAAUCCCCAAGGCUGCUCUCCACUGGCAGGCUGCAUGGCAAUGCCUGAUUAGCUUGCACUCCGUGUCCUCACUGUGCUGCAGGAGAGAAGGACAGGGCUGGCAGGGUUUGCAGCAGCUCCAAAAGUCCCAGCACUGCUGCAGUGAAGACCUGCCCACAUUUCGUAGCAUUUCUUCCCAGAGAGAACAAGAUCUGCCUGAUGGAUGAAUGCAGAGACCCAGAAAAAGGGAAUUCAUAACCUGGAUGGCAAGUUUUGGAUGGAAUGAGCUGAAUUUGAGUGUUCUCCAGAGUAGCCUUCAGAGCUUUGUUCUCAUCCAGCUGGAGCCCAAGCCUGCAAGGAAACAAAAGGAAAAACUUCCCCAUGAGCUGGAGAGCUUCAAAGCAAAUUAGAACAGUUGCCUCUGUUCUGGGAAAGAAACACUGAAACCCAGGAGCUGCGGUGAUUUCAUGACAGCCGUGAGAAAGAGCAGAAUGAGCAGUUGUUUCACCUCUCCCUGAGGUAGGAAAGAGUAAUCCCAGCAUGGAGAAAGGAAGAAAAUACCUUGUGAUCAGCUCCUUCACCUGAAAUUCCAGGGGCAGCUUGGACAGGGCUGCAGAGAGCUCGUUUCUGUCACUCACAUGCAAGGGGAGUCCUGACAGGCCUGCAGAUUCAAUCACAAAAUGGAGUUUUAGUAAAACGACAAAUCAGUUUUGGCAGCACACUGAGUCAGUAGCAGGAAAUAGUGAAUAAAUACUUAAUCUCUUAAAUUCUAUGUUACAGCAAUAAUAUAUCACAAAUACAUGACAGACUUAUUUUAACUUCCUUCCAGCAGAAUGAAAACAUGAUGAAUUUGCAUUUCAGGGCUAAAUAUGUGCCUAUGUAUGUAGAGAGGAAAACAAUGAAUCCAAAAUACUUAAGUGACCAAAACAAGAGGUGACAAACAGCUGAAAAGGAUUAAUUUGAUGUUGAUCUUGUAGCUGUGUUUGAGAUUAUGACAGCUGUUGCUUCUUGAAUGUCUGGGACAAAGUUUGCACGUGGCACCCAUUCAAACAACUUUUGUAAAGCACUUUGAUGCUCAACCUAAACACAGUGUGGGUUAAAUGUACUUCAAGGUGUGUUUCAAACCUAGGUUCUAACUCAGGAAUGCUUUCCUAAAUAAAGGUCUACCCAAAACACGCA
Long non-coding RNA from Corvus hawaiiensis (hawaiian crow), 1764 nucleotides. RefSeq lists it as uncharacterized. The record is from RefSeq and is a predicted model, not a curated record. NCBI's taxonomy places the organism in Eukaryota, Metazoa, Chordata, Aves, Passeriformes, Corvidae. The transcript has 4 exons.